UACGUAGGUGGCAAGCGUUAUCCGGAUUUACUGGGUGUAAAGGGCGUGUAGGCGGGAAAGCAAGUCAGAUGUGAAAACCACGGGCUCAACCUGUGGCCUGCAUUUGAAACUGUUUUUCUUGAGUACUGGAGAGGUAGGCGGAACUCCUAGUGUAGCGGUGAAAUGCGUAGAUAUUAGGAGGAACACCAGUGGCGAAGGCGGCCUACUGGACGGUGACUGACGCUGAGGCUCGAAAGCGUGGGGAGCAAACAGG
This 253-nucleotide ribosomal RNA is filed under the name uncultured bacterium. RNAcentral describes it as "partial 16S ribosomal RNA". It matches the Rfam family "Bacterial small subunit ribosomal RNA", at positions 524 to 776 of the family's 1533-position model. The record is from RNAcentral.